GAUGAACGCUGGCGGCGUGCUUAACACAUGCAAGUCGAACGGAAAGGCCCAAGCUUGCUUGGGUCCUCGAGUGGCGAACGGGUGAGUAACACGUGGGUGAUCUGCCCUGCACUUCGGGAUAAGCCCGGGAAACUGGGGCUAAUACCGGAUAGGACCACAUUCUGGAUGGUGUGGUGGGAAGUUUUUCGGUGUGGGAUGAGCUCGCGGCCUAUCAGCUUGUUGGUGGGGUAGUGGCCUACCAAGGCGUCGACGGGUAGCCGGCCUGAGAGGGUGUACGGCCACAUUGGGACUGAGAUACGGCCCAGACUCCUACGGGAGGCAGCAGUGGGGAAUAUUGCACAAUGGGCGGAAGCCUGAUGCAGCGACGCCGCGUGGGGGAUGACGGCCUUCGGGUUGUAAACUGCUUUCGCUAGGGACGAAGCGCGAGUGACGGUACCUGGUGAAGAAGCACCGGCUAACUACGUG
This 465-nucleotide ribosomal RNA is filed under the name uncultured bacterium. RNAcentral describes it as "partial 16S ribosomal RNA". It matches the Rfam family "Bacterial small subunit ribosomal RNA", at positions 28 to 507 of the family's 1533-position model. The record is from RNAcentral.